Molecule: ribosomal RNA, 253 nt
Filed under: uncultured bacterium
Lineage: Bacteria
Description: partial 16S ribosomal RNA
Rfam family: Bacterial small subunit ribosomal RNA
Source: RNAcentral
UACGUAGGUGGCAAGCGUUGUCCGGAAUUAUUGGGCGUAAAGGGCUCGCAGGCGGUUUCUUAAGUCUGAUGUGAAAGCCCCCGGCUCAACCGGGGAGGGUCAUUGGAAACUGGGAAACUUGAGUGCAGAAGAGGAGAGUGGAAUUCCACGUGUAGCGGUGAAAUGCGUAGAGAUGUGGAGGAACACCAGUGGCGAAGGCGACUCUCUGGUCUGUAACUGACGCUGAGGCGCGAAAGCGUGGGGAGCGAUCCGG